UUGCAGCCGCGUUAGGGAUAGCAGUGAAAAUCCCAUUUUAUUUUGAAAAAAAAUUGAAUGGAUUGAAACGAUUAGCCCGGCCUGCU
This 86-nucleotide unclassified non-coding RNA is filed under the name Gillisia sp. Hel1_33_143. RNAcentral describes it as "Flavo-1 RNA". The record is from RNAcentral. Lineage: Bacteria; Pseudomonadati; Bacteroidota; Flavobacteriia; Flavobacteriales; Flavobacteriaceae.